RNAcentral lists this long non-coding RNA (2002 nucleotides) under Citrus x clementina. RNAcentral describes it as "Citrus clementina (C. clementina) long non-coding RNA (CCLE_LNC005825)". The record is from RNAcentral. Lineage: Eukaryota; Viridiplantae; Streptophyta; Magnoliopsida; Sapindales; Rutaceae.
CCACGGGCACAGCCGCGCCCAAAAAACAGCCCCCGAAGGUCGGGGUCCCAAGACCCGCCAGCGGAAAAAUGGCCAAAAAACGGGUGGGCUAUAGCCUUGGUGGGGGGCGUGGGCGAAGUUCCUCCGCGGGACUCGGAAUGGCACCAGACUUGGCGGGCGGCCUCCGUGUGCCAAAAAUAGGCCACGGGCACAGCCGCACCCAAAACACAGCCCCCGAAGGUCGGGGUCCCAAGACCCCCCAGCGGAAAAAUGGCCAAAAAACGGGUGGGCUAUAGCCUUGGUGGGGGGCGUGGGCGAAGUUCGUCCGCGGGACUCGGAAUGGCACCAGACUUGGCAGGCGGCCUCCGUGUGCCAAAAAUAGGCCACGGGCACAGCCGCGCCCAAAAACCAGCCCCCGAAGGUUGGGGUCCCAAGACCCCCCAGCGGAAAAAUGGCCAAAAAACGGGUGGGCUAUAGCCUUGGUGGGGGGCGUGGGCGAAGUUCGUCCGCGGGACUCGGAAUGGUACCAGACUUGGCGGGCUGCCUCCGUGUGCCAAAAAUAGGCCACGGGCACAGCCGCCCCCAAAAAUCAGCCCCCGAAGGUCGGGGUCCCAAGACCCCCCAGCGGAAAAAUGGCCAAAAAACGGGUGGGCUAUAGCCUUGGUGGGGGGCGUGGGCGAAGUUCGUCCGCGGGACUCGGAAUGGCACCAGACUUGGCGGUAGGCCUCCGUGUGCCAAAAAUAGGCCACGGGCACAGCGGCGCCCAAAAAACAGCCCCCGAAGGUCAGGGUCCCAAGACCCCCCAGCGGAAAAAUGGCCAAAAAACGGGUGGGCUAUAGCCUUGGUGUGGGGCGUGGGCGAAGUUCAUCCGCGGGACUCGGAAUGGCACCAGACUUGGCGGUAGGCCUCCGUGUGCCAAAAAUAGGCCACGGGCACAGCCGCGCCCAAAAAACAGCCCCCGAAGUUCGGGGUCCCAAGACCCCCCAGCGGAUAAAUGGCCAAAAAACGGGUGGGCUAUAGCCUUGGUGGGGGGCGUGGGCGAAGUUCGUCCGCGGGACUCGGAAUGGAACCAGACUUGGCGGGCGGCCUCCGUGUGCCAAAAAUAGGCCACGGGCACAGCCGCACCCAAAAAACAGCCCCCGAAGCUCGGGGUCCCAAGACCCCCCAGCGGAAAAAUGGCCAAAAAACGGGUGGGCUAUAGCCUUUGUGGGGAGCGUGGGCGAAGUUCGUCCGCGGGACUCGGAAUGGCACCAGACUUGGCGGUAGGCCUCCGUGUGCAAAAAAUAGGCCACGGGCACAGCGGCGCCCAAAAAACAGCCCCCGAAGGUCAGGGUCCCAAGACCCCCCAGCGGAAAAAUGGCCAAAAAACGGGUGGGCUAUAGCCUUGGUGGGGGGCGUGGGCGAAGUUCAUCCGCGGGACUCGGAAUGGCACCAGACUUGGCGGUAGGCCUCCGUGUGCCAAAAAUAGGCCACGGGCACAGCCGCGCCCAAAAAACAGCCCCCGAAGUUCGGGGUCCCAAGACCCCCCAGCGGAUAAAUGGCCAAAAAACGGGUGGGCUAUAGCCUUGGUGGGGGGCGUGGGCGAAGUUCGUCCGCGGGACUCGGAAUGGCACCAGACUUGGCGGGCGGCCUCCGUGUGCCAAAAAUAGGCCACGGGCACAGCCGCGCCCAAAAACCAGCCCCCGAAGGUCGGGGUCCCAAGAACCCCCAGCGGAAAAAUGGCCAAAAAACGGGUGGGCUAUAGCCUUGGUGGGGGGCGUGGGUGAAGUUCGUCCGCGGGACUCGGAAUGGUAGCAGACUUGGCGGGCUGCCUCCGUGUGCCAAAAAUAGGCCACGGGCACAGCCGCGCCCAAAAAUCAGCCCCCGAAUGUCGGGGUCCCAACACCCCCCAGCGGAAAAAUGGCCAAAAAACGGGUGGGCUAUAGCCUUGGUGGGGGGCGUGGGCGAAGUUCGUCCGCGGGACACGGAAUGGCACCAGACUUGGUGGGCGGCCUCCGUGUGCCAAAAAUAGGCCACGGGCACA